This 497-nucleotide ribosomal RNA is filed under the name uncultured bacterium. Its description in RNAcentral is "partial 16S ribosomal RNA". It matches the Rfam family "Bacterial small subunit ribosomal RNA", at positions 28 to 507 of the family's 1533-position model. The record is from RNAcentral.
GACGAACGCUGGCGGCGUGCCUAAUACAUGCAAGUUGAGCGCUGAAGGUUGGUACUUGUACCGACUGGAUGAGCAGCGAACGGGUGAGUAACGCGUGGGGAAUCUGCCUUUGAGCGGGGGACAACAUUUGGAAACGAAUGCUAAUACCGCAUAAAAACUUUAAACACAAGUUUUAAGUUUGAAAGAUGCAAUUGCAUCACUCAAAGAUGAUCCCGCGUUGUAUUAGCUAGUUGGUGAGGUAAAGGCUCACCAAGGCGAUGAUACAUAGCCGACCUGAGAGGGUGAUCGGCCACAUUGGGACUGAGACACGGCCCAAACUCCUACGGGAGGCAGCAGUAGGGAAUCUUCGGCAAUGGACGAAAGUCUGACCGAGCAACGCCGCGGGAGUGAAGAAGGGUUUCGGAUCGUAAAACUCUGUUGGUAGAGAAGAAAGUUGGUGAGAGUGGAAAGCUCAUCAAGUGACGGUAACUACCCAGAAAGGGACGGCUAACUACGUG